GCUUUAACCCUUGUUAUUUAGGCAAGAAAUACAGAUAUGCUUAUGCUUGUGGUGCUAAGAGACCUUGUAAUUUCCCCAACACUCUUACAAAGGUCACUUCAUUCUCUUCUUUUUCCUUUAUUUUCUCCACUAAUAGUGCUUACAGCUGAUGUUAAUUUUUACCUACUCAAAAUAUUUUUGCAGAUUGACUUGUUUGAGAAAAAGGCCAAGAAUUGGUACGAUGAGGGUGCUGUGCCUUCUGAACCAUUCUUUGUCGCUCGACCUGGUGCAACCGAGGAAGACGACGGUAAUUAAUUUAUCAAUACAUCUAUAUAUAAUAAUCCCAAUGUGGUAGCUUUAACCCUUGUUAUUUGGGCAAGAAAUACAGAUAUGCUUAUGCUUGUGGUGCUAAGAGACCUUGUAAUUUCCCCAACACUCUUACAAAGGUCACUUCAUUCUCUUCUUUUUCCUUUAUUUUCUCCACUAAUAGUGCUUACAGCUGAUGUUAAUUUUUACCUACUCAAAAUAUUUUUGCAGAUUGACUUGUUUGAGAAAAAGGCCAAGAAUUGGUACGAUGAGGGUGCUGUGCCUUCUGAACCAUUCUUUGUCGCUCGACCUGGUGCAACCGAGGAAGACGACGGUAAUUAAUUUAUCAAUACAUCUAUAUAUAAUAAUCCCAAUGUGGUUCAGCAUUUUCCUGGAUUCCGCACAUAGCGAGAGCUUUAUGAAAGUGAAUACUAUAGUCUAAGCCUAAUAAAACGAAACAAAAAACAACAGAACAGGCAAUUGAAUUGCAACAUAUAUAUUAAAACAAGGCAUAAUAUUGUGGAAAUAUGCAGGAGU
Molecule: long non-coding RNA, 822 nt
Filed under: Nicotiana benthamiana
Lineage: Eukaryota; Viridiplantae; Streptophyta; Magnoliopsida; Solanales; Solanaceae
Description: long non-coding RNA (NBEN_LNC034450)
Source: RNAcentral